GACACCACUCGCCCGCCAUCCCUCCUCGCCGCCCCCCCCCUGUCAAAAGGAGGAGUCGCGUGCGACGGGGUCCCGCCGGCGGACUCUGCGUGCUCCGGAGACUCGUUUCUCCGAGUGCACCGAAUCUCGUGAACGAAACUUCUAUUGCCUUGCUGCACAGAGCUGUUGACGGCGUUGCUUCGGCGGCGACUCUCGGCUCGCUAACGUGCUCCAAGAACAGCUUUGGAGUGUCUUUGUCCGGUUAUCGCCUCUCUCUCCCCUCGGGGGAAUGGGGGACACACACCCUACUUUCG
This 293-nucleotide unclassified non-coding RNA is filed under the name Pseudochorda nagaii. RNAcentral describes it as "ITS2". Lineage: Eukaryota; Phaeophyceae; Laminariales; Pseudochordaceae. The record is from RNAcentral.